GAUCUUCAGGGAACCCAAAAUUUUAAUUUUUAUAAAAUAUUUGAAGAUUAU
This 51-nucleotide transfer RNA is filed under the name Tubulipora flabellaris. Its description in RNAcentral is "tRNA-Lys". Lineage: Eukaryota; Metazoa; Bryozoa; Stenolaemata; Tubuliporida; Tubuliporidae. The record is from RNAcentral.